CCCUUAGAUGUUCGGGGCCGCACGCGCGCUACACUGAAGGACUCAGCGUGUCUCUCCCCCUAUCCCGAAAGGGAUGGGCAACCCGUUGAACCUCCUUCGUGCUAGGGAUUGGGGUUUGCAAUUAUCCCCCAUGAACGAGGAAUUCCCAGUAAGCGCGAGUCAUCAGCUCGCGUUGAUUACGUCCCUGCCCUUUGUACACACCGCCCGUCGCUCCUACCGAUUGAAUGGUCCGGUGAAGCGUUCGGACCGUGGCCUUUGGACGGUUCGCCGUCUGUUGGCUGCGGGAAGUUCGUUAAACCUUAUCAUUUAGAGGAAGGAGAAGUCGUAACA
This 330-nucleotide ribosomal RNA is filed under the name uncultured eukaryote. RNAcentral describes it as "partial 18S ribosomal RNA". It matches the Rfam family "Eukaryotic small subunit ribosomal RNA", at positions 1470 to 1796 of the family's 1831-position model. The record is from RNAcentral.